CCUGAACCCCGCCUACAAGACCCUCCUUUCCUUAGCACUUGCUCCAACUCCUUCCACAGCCUGCCUUACUCCAGGUCCUCCAGACAGAACCCAAAUGCUGGCAGUCCCUGCAGCAGGCCAGGCAUGACUGGUGCCAUGGGCUGGGUCUGUGUCCCCAGGCUCACUGAGGGCAUCAGAGUAUCUUGUGGAGAUCCAGUGUUCUACCUUCUAGAAUCAACACCCUCAUUUUCUUUAGGGGAAUCACUUCUAGCCCCACUCUUGGUAAGGGGUGUGUGUGUGUGUGACCCAGAUCUGGCUAACAAGAAACAGCCUUCAGACUUUUGCAAAAACUACUAGAAAAGCAACUUUCCAUCUCUACUAGGAUAGCUAAGCUUCGAGGGGCUAGAGACCACUUUUCCCAACACACAGGAUAAGCUGCUUGAGAACAAAGCCAACAAGAGAGGAGAGCAAAGCUAAGGACUAAGACAGACAAAUGCCCAGCCAAACUAUUCAAAUGCCUGCAUCUAGCCCUGCCCAAUACCAAAGCUACUUCUGUAUUUUUUAUUCUUGUAAUACAAGGGUUUCCUUGUUUUGCUUACACUAGUUAUGAGUGGGUUUCUAUCAUCUGUUCUAAUGCCAGGAUUCUACACUGAUGAUGACAGAAUGUCACAGACACAGUAGUUCUCAUGCAGAGAACAGGUAGAUCCUGGGGGCGUGGUUGGCAAGUGCCCCACGGCAACAAGGGACUCUCUGAGUACUCCCCCCCACAUGGCACAAGAUGCGCCUGGUCAGCGAAAUGGUGUAACUGAAAUGCCUCAGAGCUCAGGAGUGCAUAUGGACGAAUGCUCAGGCUGAUAUGUGAGCCCAGGCUGCAGCCCUCCUCCUGCCUGGCCCCCUCUCCCUCUUGGAGGAAACUCGAGCCACAGAAGAUGAAGCACAGGGAACCAGGUAGCCUGGGCCUGCUCCCUAUGGCUCAGCCUGUCCUACGCUUCUGCCCUGAAUCCCCAAAGCCCAGUGGACAGGUACCUCCUCUGAGGCUCAGGCCUCCUGUGCAACCACUGCCUCACCCAGAGGAGUGAGGAGCCCACCGGUGGGCCCAGCUCCAGUUCUAUCCGCCCCCUUCUGGGGGGUGGGAAGUGUGCAGAGAGACCAACACUGAUCACUGUCUCAUCAACUUGACACCACCACCUGGAAGAAUUCUCCAUCUCUAUGUACAAAUAAGGAGACAGAGGAUGAGAAGCAUGUGGAGACUUGCCCAAAGCCCAAGGUCACAGAACUACAUGCAAGGUGGCAGGAUUGGACCAGGCUUGUCCAUCCCACAGUUUCCCAGUGGCCACGGCUGCUAGUCCUGUGCUGCAGAGGGUGGGGAGAAGGCCAAGGGCCCUGGUGGAGUGUGGAGAAUCUGGGAAGAAUCAGCACGGUGAUUCUCCAAGUGUGAUCUGGAACGUUGAGGGGUUCCUGAGACCCUUUCAGGAGGCCCACAAGGUCAAAAUUAUUUCCAUUAUACUACAAAAUUAUUUGCCUUAUUGU
Molecule: non-coding RNA, 1509 nt
Organism: Microcebus murinus (gray mouse lemur)
Lineage: Eukaryota; Metazoa; Chordata; Mammalia; Primates; Cheirogaleidae
Source: RefSeq, a predicted model, not a curated record